This 467-nucleotide ribosomal RNA is filed under the name uncultured bacterium. RNAcentral describes it as "partial 16S ribosomal RNA". It matches the Rfam family "Bacterial small subunit ribosomal RNA", at positions 28 to 506 of the family's 1533-position model. The record is from RNAcentral.
GACGAACGCUGGCGGCGUGCUUAACACAUGCAAGUCGAACGGAAAGGCCCUGCUUUUGUGGGGUGCUCGAGUGGCGAACGGGUGAGUAACACGUGAGUAACCUGCCCUUGACUUUGGGAUAACUUCAGGAAACUGGGGCUAAUACCGGAUAGGAGCUCCUGCUGCAUGGUGGGGGUUGGAAAGUUUCGGCGGUUGGGGAUGGACUCGCGGCUUAUCAGCUUGUUGGUGGGGUAGUGGCUUACCAAGGCUUUGACGGGUAGCCGGCCUGAGAGGGUGACCGGCCACAUUGGGACUGAGAUACGGCCCAGGCUCCUACGGGAGGCAGCAGUGGGGAAUAUUGCACAAUGGGCGGAAGCCUGAUGCAGCAACGCCGCGUGCGGGAUGACGGCCUUCGGGUGGUAAACCGCUUUCGCCUGUGACGAAGCGUGAGUGACGGUAAUGGGUAAAGAAGCACCGGCUAACUACGU